CUUCUUUGCUGGCGACCGGCGCACGGGUGAGUAACACGUAUCCAACCUGCCCUUUACUCGGGGAUAGCCUUUCGAAAGAAAGAUUAAUACCCGAUAGUAUAAUGAUUCCGCAUGGUUUCAUUAUUAAAGGAUUCCGGUAAAGGAUGGGGAUGCGUUCCAUUAGGUUGUUGGUGAGGUAACGGCUCACCAAGCCUUCGAUGGAUAGGGGUUCUGAGAGGAAGGUCCCCCACAUUGGAACUGAGACACGGUCCAA
RNAcentral lists this ribosomal RNA (253 nucleotides) under uncultured bacterium. RNAcentral's name for it is "partial 16S ribosomal RNA". It matches the Rfam family "Bacterial small subunit ribosomal RNA", at positions 80 to 334 of the family's 1533-position model. The record is from RNAcentral.